This is a long non-coding RNA of Oreochromis aureus, 398 nucleotides long. The record is from Ensembl. Lineage: Eukaryota; Metazoa; Chordata; Actinopteri; Cichliformes; Cichlidae.
UUGGAGUCUGCCUCCGAGCGCGUGUGUGUGUUUGUGUGUGUGUGUAUGUUGGAAGGAGAAAAGAGAUAAAGAGAGAGAGAGAAAGGGAGGGAGAGGCAAGCGGCGUUUAUUCUCCCCCCUUUAGCCUCCCCGUUUCCCUGCUCCCUGUCACUCCAUCCUUCCUCCCCUCUCCUGGACCACCCUCCAGCCCCGCUUUGAGCCGGACCGAGACCCCCUACCACCCAGACCACCCCGGGACCCUUUGACUCUCCUCACUUCUCCGUCCCACCAGCCACAACCUCUGAGCAGCUUGCUGGCAAGGCCAUGGCUGCUACCGCCGAGCCACACCUGACCAACAGAUUGGCCCCAGCUGGAGGCCGAGGCCUGAACAGACACUUUGGAGGCCAGUGAUUCAGCCG